CCAGUUUUUUCUUACAGAUGUGACAUCUUAUGGAGUUGUAUUCAGUUUGCUAGACGCUUUGGAUGAAUUAGCAAAGCCAAGAGAUCCCCAAAAAGGAUUUCUUGAGAUGACAAAUCUGCAAUCGAUCUUAUUUUGGAUAAGGUCAAUAUUUGAACAUGCUGUACUGCUACAUGGCUCUGAAUC
Long non-coding RNA from Anneissia japonica, 183 nucleotides. RefSeq lists it as uncharacterized. The record is from RefSeq and is a predicted model, not a curated record. NCBI's taxonomy places the organism in Eukaryota, Metazoa, Echinodermata, Crinoidea, Comatulida, Comatulidae. The transcript has 2 exons.